GACGAACGCUGGCGGCGUGCCUGAUACAUGCAAGUAGAACGCUGAAGGAGGAGCUUGCUUCUCUGGAUGAGUUGCGAACGGGUGAGUAACGCGUAGGUAACCUGCCUGGUAGCGGGGGAUAACUAUUGGAAACGAUAGCUAAUACCGCAUAAUAGAAGAUGUUGCAUGACAUUUGCUUAAAAGUUGCAAUUGCAUCACUACCAGAUGGACCUGCGUUGUAUUAGCUAGUUGGUGGGGUAACGGCUCACCAAGGCGACGAUACAUAGCCGACCUGAGAGGGUGAUCGGCCACACUGGGACUGGAACACGGCCCAAACUCCUACGGGAGGCAGCAGUAGGGAAUCUUCGGCAAUAGACGGAAGGCUGACCGAGCAACGCCGCGUGAGUGAAGAAGGUUUUCGGAUCGUAAAGCUCUGUUGUAAGAGAAGAACGAGUGUGAGAGUGGAAAGUUCACACUGUGACGGUAUCUUACCAGAAAGGGACGGCUAACUACGUG
This 495-nucleotide ribosomal RNA is filed under the name uncultured bacterium. RNAcentral describes it as "partial 16S ribosomal RNA". It matches the Rfam family "Bacterial small subunit ribosomal RNA", at positions 28 to 507 of the family's 1533-position model. The record is from RNAcentral.